CACUUAUCAAGGCUGAGGCCUAUGAGGAAGCCACACCUAUUGUGAGAUGGCUUGGCCAGUACCAACAGGGAGAUGGAGGUUAUGGGUCAACUCAGGCUACCAUAAUGGUGUACCAGGCAAGUUCAGAGUACUGGAUCAAUGCUAAAGAACCAGAGUAUAAUGUGGAUGUAGACAUCCUGCUACCCGGCAGAAAAACGACUGACAAGUACAGCUUCAGCGAGGCAAAUCGUUUUACCACGAGAACAUCAAAGGUGAGCCGAGCAUCUUGUUCAAACAAGUAAGUGUGGUGGUGAGUUUGGGAUUUGGGAAUGGGGAAGAGAAAACUUCAACUCUCGCUUCACCAAAAGAAUUAUUGGAGAAAAAUGAAAUUGAGGUUAGAUGGGACAUGAAGCAAAAACUAGUCCUGAACUUGCAUGAGCCAGUUAGAGGUAACAACAAUUUGGCAGCGAUGAAGCGUGAAGGUACAAGCCCUGCAUGUUGAUACUGGAACCAGGGUUGAGAGCUGAAGCCCAGAAAAAUCCAAAGCCCCACUGGAAGGUGGGCCCAGUAAGAACACUUGACUCAUAUUUCUAGCUUAGAAAACAGAGAAAGAAGGAAAAUCCAGACUGCACAGAUCAUGACAGUACAGCCUACAAAGACAAUGUUACUAAUCUUAGCCAGUUUGCUGCAGUAACUUCAGUUAGUUUAAUAUCUGUUAGUUGGAGCUCAGCUUAGUGUCCCUAUCACUCAUGUUGAGCCAUUUUUGCAUCAGUGAAACCAAAUGUAUAGCUAAACUUCAGGCUUAUCUUUAAUUCAUAAUCAUUUACUUAUACAUUUAUUUAUUUACUUUUACAGACCUAUCAACCUGAGUGUUUAGCUGUAAGUUUUAGAUGUUAUUGGUGUUUUUCCACAACCCAUCCCACUCUGUAUCCCACACACUGAAGUCCCUCUGCCAGUGGAAAGCCAAAGUGGUAGUGGUAGUGGGCAGUUAGCUUUUAGUGUGCAAUGUUU
Non-coding RNA from Neolamprologus brichardi, 990 nucleotides. The record is from RefSeq and is a predicted model, not a curated record. Lineage: Eukaryota; Metazoa; Chordata; Actinopteri; Cichliformes; Cichlidae.